RNAcentral lists this transfer RNA (89 nucleotides) under Candidatus Saccharimonadota bacterium. RNAcentral's name for it is "tRNA-Ser". It matches the Rfam family "tRNA". Rfam says of the family: Transfer RNA (tRNA) molecules are approximately 80 nucleotides in length. Their secondary structure includes four short double-helical elements and three loops (D, anti-codon, and T loops). Lineage: Bacteria; Candidatus Saccharimonadota. The record is from RNAcentral.
GGAGAGAUGCAGGAGUGGUUGAACUGGCCGCUCUCGAAAAGCGGUGUGGCGUUUCGUCACCGAGGGUUCGAAUCCCUCUCUCUCCGCCA